This 7547-nucleotide long non-coding RNA is filed under the name Hordeum vulgare. RNAcentral's name for it is "long non-coding RNA (HVUL_LNC001859)". Lineage: Eukaryota; Viridiplantae; Streptophyta; Magnoliopsida; Poales; Poaceae. The record is from RNAcentral.
UAGAGUAGGUCACAAUAGGUUAAUGGGGGAAAGUUGUUUGUAAUUAGGUAUUGUUUACAAAACAUUCAAGAUAAUCAUUGGCCUAAGACUAUACCAAAAAUUUGCAAAUGAAGAGCAAAAGGAAGAUAUUUUGUUUAAUUGUGAUGCAAGAAGCCGCUUAACUACACUAUUUAGGUGGGCCAACACGUGUAGGCGGACCAGCUGGUAUAUAUUGUUGCUGUUGGAUUUCCAUUAAUUCUAGGCUCACUAGAACUUCAUGGGGUGUUUGUUUUUGUGUCAAUGCGCCAUGGAUAGCUGCAAGUAAAUGUUUGCUUUGUAGAUGUGUCCUUAGUUUCUUCCCAUAUGUCAUGUUGGAUAUAAUUUGUUCUCUUAAAUUGUUUAAGAAAAAUUGGAAAUAACUAACAAAGAUAAAAAAACAUCAUGUCAUCUAAGAUCCACCCCCUCCGCUCGCACGAUAUUUCUUUGAAAAAUGGAAAUAAUCCCUUCAUGUCAUGGAAGAUCUACAUCCUUCCACUCACGCGAUAUCGCAUCAUCUAACCUGGGUCAGUUUUCCCCCUUUCCUCAUAGAAUAUCGUGUCGUAAUGCAUGAGAUAUAUCCUGAACUCCACUUAUUGUAGCACGACAAUAACUUCUCUAGCCACGCCACAAUUUGAGACGUACCGGAAGCCUACCCACCGUCCGAAAUUAAUGACACAUGUAAGCAAAGUGAUGGGUGGGUGUUGGGACUUACGGGAGGCCAUGCAAGAGACGCAAUGCUUGGUUCGUUGACCCCAUUUAUUCUCCACGUGGAUCGCUUCUUGAUGGUCUCACGCUCGAGUUGGUCACCUCCCAUGGCUAAGCCUGGCAUCCGGUGUAAACUAAACUUAUGUUAGUAAAUUUUGGUGUUUCUAUAUUUGUUGUUUGAUUCUGUUUUCAAUUUAUUCCUAAAGGGUAGAAUGCAUUAGGCUAACUAAGAAUAUGGAUACCUUCAAUGCUUGGCACCCCACCAUAUUAAAUAGAAAAGGUCCCUACCCCAUUUUGUUUGGCCACACGAUGUGGGACAAAUCACAAAACUGACAAGCCCCACGGGAGAGACUGACUGGAUUGGUUAAGAAGAAGUUUUGCAGAAUAUUAGGCCUUGCGUAGUUGCAUACAAUGUUGAGGUGAAGAUCCAUAUGGUGCGGAUGUUUCGUUGUCAAACGGGCCAAAUAUCCCCUAAAUGGGUCAUCGGACGCUAAAAUCGAUCUUAGGACACUACCGAUUUGGCUAACGGCUUAUCAAAUCCCUAGUGUUUUUAAGUUGGGUUUGAGUUAGAGGAGCGAGAGUCGAUGUGUUUGCGGUUCUAGAGGAUUGCCAAAGAUGCCCUAAGAGACUUUAUGACUUGUUCUCACACGUUGCUCGUAUUAAAACUACAAUAGGAAAUCAUACUUCGCAUGCACAAAUGUGUGGUGUACCCAGAAAAUGCAAUAGAGACAAUUGUAGUUACGUGUGAGAACAUAUUAAAAAUAAUUUCAGUUUUGUGCAAUGAAGGGAAACUAAAGUAAUGUCCUUCUCAUAUUUAUGCUCACACUGAUCACAUUCAUCCAUCCACUCGUCCUUAUAGUUGUAUAGAGUAGGGCACAAUAGGUCCAUGGGAGAGUGUUUUUUGUAAUUAGGCGGUAAGUGUGUACAAGACAUACAAGACAACCAUUGGCCUAGAGCCUAUGCCAUCCAUAUGCAAAUAAAGUGCAAAAGGAAGAAUGUUUAACUGUAAAGAAAGAAGCCGCUUAACUACAAAAUUUACGCGGGCCAACAUGUCUGGGAGGAGUAGGUGGUAUUUUUGGGGUGAAUUUCCAUUUUAAGCUCAUUGGAACUUGAUGGGGAUGUUUGGUUUUUGGGGUGUGCUCCAUGGACAGCUAGCCAGCUAAUGUUAGCAUUGUAGAUGUGCCCUUUGUUUUUUCCCGUAUUUCAAGAUAGAUAUGCAUUUUUUUUCUUAAAUUGGUUAAGAAAACAUGGAAAUAACUAGCAACAAUGAAAAACACAUCAGCUCAUUGAGGAUCACCCCCCCCCCGACUCCACUCGCUUGAGAUCGCUUUGGGAAAAUGCAAAUUAUGACUUCACGUCAUGGAAGAUCCACACCCUUGCACUCACACGAGAUCACAUCAUCUAACCCAAGAUCUGUCUUACCCCUUUCCUCACAGAAAAUCACAUCAUAACGUGUGACAUAUAUCCUAAGGUCUAGCAUGACAACAAAUUCUCUAGCCAUCCCGCCACUUGAGACAUACCGAAACCCACCCCACCAUGUGACAUUAAACAUACAUGUAAGAAAGCUAGGGGUGGGCUUGGGACUUAUGAGAGGUCAUGCGAGAGAUAGAAUGCUUGGGCUAUCAAUCCACUUUCUCCUCCCUCGUGCAUCGCUUCUCGAUGGUUCCACGCCCAUGUUGCACACCUCACGUGACCGAGCCUGGCAUUUGGUAUAUACCAAACUUCGGUUAUUAAGUUUUGUUGUUUCUAUAUUUCCGUUUUAAUUCCGUUGGUUAAGUAAAAUGGAAAUAACUAGCAAGAGUGAAAAACCCAUCACAUCGGUGAAGAUCGCCCCCAAUCCACUCACAUGAGAUCGCUUUGAAAAAAUGAAAUUUGUUACUUCACAUCAUUGAAGAUCCACACCCUUCCACUCACACGAGAUCACAUCAUCUACCCGAGAUUUGUGUGACCCUUUUCCUCACACAAGAUCAUGUCAUAACGUGUGACAUAUAUCCUAAUGUGUAGCAUGACAAUAAAUUCUCUAGCCGCCCUGCCACUUGAGACGUGCCGAAACCCACACCACCAUUUGACAUGAAACAUGCAUGUAAGAAAACGAGGCAUGGGUUUUGGGCCUUAUGAGAGGUCAUGUAAGAGCCACAAAUCUUGGGUUGUCAAUCCCCUUUAUCCUCCCUUGUGGAUCGCUGCUUGACGAUCCCAUGACCAUGUUGGGUACCUCACAUGGCUAACCCUGCCAUUUGCUACAUAAACUUCGGUUAGUAAGUUUUGGUGUUUCUAUAUUUCAUUUUUUAUUCGGUUUUCGACUUAUACUGAAAGAGUAUCCCGUGUGCGGUUCACCAAGGAUAUGGAUGCCUUCCACCCGAGGCAUACCACCCUAUUAAAUAGUCAAGCUCCUGCCUCCAUUUUUUGCAGCCUGGUGAUGUGGUACUAAAAACCAAAUGGACAAGCCCCAUGGGAGAGACUCAUUGGUGUGGGUAAGAAAAAUAGGUGAUGUAGAUUAUUGGGCAUUGCCUAUUUGCCUACAGUAUUGAGGUGGAUGCCCACAUGAGUGAUUGGGUCUUCCCUGACUUGCACACACGACCACAUGGCACUCACCUUAACCUUAGGGGAGCGACUCUGUGUCGACUAUUGUGAGACGAAACAAGGUGCCGCCUAGAGUGCUGACGAAAUUGGCUAGAACACCAUGCUGGGCGACCAUCGGCCUUAAGUGUUGAUUUUUUAUCUUAUUUUUUCUUUCUUUUAUAUUUAUUUUAACAGUUUUCCAUUAUAUUUCACAGUUUAUGCUUAUAUACAUCCACCCCUGUAACUUCUCAACUACCGACGCACUACAAUCACUAGGAAAAUGCUUGUGCAUUUCUACAUGCAAUAUGAAUCCAUUAAUCACAAUUUAGCAAAUGCGUACACCAAUAAGUGGAGCAUUGUUUGAUAUCAUAGCUGAAUGUCCAUUAUUCGAUAUCAUAGGUCAACAUCCGUGAAUUGCGACCAAAUAUAUAUUACUAUGAUGACCAAAGGCAUGAGCAACACAAAAAUCAAGCACAACAAAAUAUUUCCCAACAACUGCCAAAGAAAAAGAUUGCAAAUAACAACUUAAAGAAACCAAUAUCGCAAAACUAACAAGCCUUUGAACAAACAAGAUUUAACAUGACACUAAUUGGGUAUGCUUAAUUUGCACGAUACAAUGGUUCACGGGGAAACAAGUUUGUGCUGAGUGAUACAAGUUUGGUCUAUUCAACAAAACACAUCAAAUUUCCUGACUUAGGCAUUGAUAUCAAAAGUAUUCCGAGUCUUUAUCUAGAUAGAUCCAAACAAAUAUACAAGGAUGAGAACUUCCAAAUAAUCUUAUAGAUUGUGAAUCUAGCAACAUGAGUAUCAAUUCUACACUUUCCACAUAGGCAAUACAAUUUUAACUAGUGGGUUAUGCUUGUUUCCCGAAACAAGAUCAAGCGGGAGGUUGGUGUUAAUUCACCUAGGUGUAGAACCUUCUUUCGCUGAACACCAAUCCAAAGGACCAUGCUUGUUGCUUCGAAGAUCACUUGUAGAGCUUGUGCGUCUCGGGACAAUGAGGGAUUAGAGGAGUAGGCGACACUAUCUUUCCUAGAGGCGGGCCUACUACUGGUCGGGUGAGACUCUGCUGUGCAUCACAAUUCUUGAUCUUGUUUGUAAUUGAAGAGAGGUCCCAAGGCAGGAUGGCACUCACACGAGGGCUUGAUAAGUUGCAUUAGAGUGUGCUUUGAGGAUCACUUGAAGACUCAGAGCGGCACUGAUUAUAGAGAGCAUGGGGAAUGCUUAGUUUCUUGAAGGCUAUGCUUUGUUUUGUGCUAGAGGAUUUAGAUGUGGUCAGAUGGAGUUGGGCCAUGAAAUUAUAUUGAGAAAUUGAAGGGCAAAAGUUAAGAGAAACUUAGAGUUGUUGUUUAUGGAUGGCGAUAGGCCCAAGUUGCAUGUUUGUUGGUUUUGGGUGAUGAGAAUUGGAGAUUGGGAGGAAAGAGGAUAUGCUACGUUAGAAAAAAACAUUAAAGAAUUCGAGUUUGGCUACAUCAGUGCGAACUAUUAUGUUCAGCCUUUAGAAUCAGUUGUGUGCCCAACACUUCUUCCGAAACUGGUUUUGAUUCCAUUUUUGUUGUAUGUGUGCAGUUUUCAGAAUGGAGACUCACGCACCGCUUAUGACCGAUCAAUUAGACUCUACAUAUUAUGGCUUUUCCUUGUCUAGCCACCUUCAUGACCAAAGAUCUAAAUGAUUUAUUGCUUUUGCCAUGUCUAAGGUAAAUGCUUUUUUUCGAGCCUACGUUAGUUUCAAAAUGCGCAAGUUUAAUUAGCCGAAAAUGUAAGUUUGAUUUUUUUCAAAAAGAAAGUGUAGAGUGGAUUUUGGACGUUUUUACAAAGUGUGAAAUACACUUUUUUAGAAAACAUUUGUACUUAUAUGAAAAAAUAACCUUUUACUGCUUACUAUUGAAAUGUGUGUGCAAGGGUUAUUGAUUAUUUAGAGCCCGCUGUGGUAUCCAUUGCCUAUCCAACACUCUAUGCAAACAUCAAAACACUAUUACCGUAACACCAAGUAAGAAAUCAAUGCCUUGUGAACGUAUAUAUACACAUUUAUUUGAUAAGAAAUGUUAUCCUCAACCACGAGGGGAAGCACCUCGUGUAACGAUCUCCAACCAAAACUACAUACUUAGGUGAAUAAACAUUGUGACGCAUUAGCACAGUUAGCUUGUAUUGCAAGUACAAUAUGAUAUCAUACUUCACAUGCACAAGUGUGGUGUACUUGGAUAAAGCAUAAGUGACCAUUGUAAUUACGUGUGAGAAUAUAUAACAAGAUUUUUAGUUUUGGGUAACGAAGGGAAAGUAAUGCAAUGAACCUCGCAUAUGUAUUCCUCCUCUGGAAUACAUUCAUCCAUCCUCUCGUCCUCCGAUAUGUAUAGAGUAGGCCACAAUAGGUUAAUGGGGGAAAGUUGUUUGUAAUUAGGUAUUGUGUAGAAAAUAUUCAAGAUAAUCAUUGGCCUAAGACUAUACCAAAAAUCUGCAAAUGAAGAGCAAAAGGAAGAUAUUUAGUUUAAUUGUGAUGCAAGAAGCCGCUUAACUACACUAUUUAGGUGGGCCAACACGUGUAGGCGGACCAGGUGGUAUAUAUUGUUGGUGUUGGAUUUCCGUUUUAGGCUCACUGGAACUUCAUGGGGUGUUUGUUUUUAUGGGCGUGCGCCAUGGAUAGCUAGCGAGUAAAUGUUUGCUUUGUAGAUGUGUCCUUAGUUUCUUCCCAUAUUUCAUGUUGGAUAUGAUUUGUUCUCCUAAAUUGGCUAAGAAAUAUUGGAAAUAACUGAAAAAGAUAAAAACAUCAUGUCAUCGAAGAUCCACCCCCUCCGCUCGCACGAUAUUGCUUUGGAAAUGGAAAUAAUCCCUUCAUGUCAUGGAAGAUCUACAUCCUUCCACUCACGCGAUAUCGCAUCAUCUUACCUGGGUCAGUCUUCCCCCUUUCCUCACAAAAAAUCACGUUGUAUUGCAUGAGAUAUAUCCUGAAGUCCACUUAUUGUAGAACGAAAAUAAAUUCUCUAGCGACCCCGCCAUUUGAGACGUACCGGAAGCCUCCCCACCAUCCGAAAUUAAUGACACAUGUAAGCAAAGUGAGGGGUGGGUGUUGGGACUUACGAGAAUCCAUGCGAGAGCCGCAAUGCUUGGGGUGUUGAGCUCAUUUAUUCUCCACGUGGAUCGCUUCUUAAUGGUAUCACGCUCGAGUUGGUCACCUCCCAUGGCUAAGCCUCGCAUCUGGUGUAAACUAAAAUUAAGUUAGUAAAUUUUGGUGUUUCUAUAUUUGUUGUUCGAUUCUGAUUUCAGUUUAUUCCUAAAGGGUAGACUGCAUUAGGCUAACUAAGGAUAUGGAUACCUUCAACGCUUGGCACCCCGCAAUAUUAAAUAGAAAAGGUCCCUACCUCAUUUUGUGUAGCCACAUGAUGUGGGAGAAAUCACGAAAGAGACAAGCCCCGUGGGAGAGACUAAUUGGACUGGUUGAGAAGAAGAAGUUUUGUAGAAUAUUAGGCCUUGCGUAGUUGCAUACAAUGUUGAGGUGAAGAUCCAUAUUGUGCGGAUGUUUCCUUGUCAAACGGGCCAAAUAUCCCCUAAAUGGGUGAUCGGACGAUGAAAUCAAUCUUAGGACACUACCGAUUUGGCUAACGGCUUAUCAAAUCCCUAAUAUUUUGAAGUUGGGUUUGAGUUAGAGGAACGAGAGUCGAUGUGUUUGUGGUUCUAGAGGAUUGCCAAAGAUGCCCUAUGAGACUUUAUGACUUGUUCUCACACGUUGCUCGUAUUAAAACUACAAUAGGAAAUCAUACUUCACAUGCACAAAUGUGUGGUGUACCUAGAUAAAGCAAUAGAGACAAUUGUAGUUACAUGUGAGAACAUAUUAAAAAUAAUUUCAGUUUUGUGCAAUCAAGGGAAAGUAAAGUAAUGUCCUUCUCAUAUUUAUGCUCGCACUGAUCACAUUCAUCCAUCCACUCGUCCUUAUAGCUGUAUAGAGUAGGCCACAAUAGGGCCAUGGGAGAGUGUUGUUUGUAAUUAGGCGGUAACUGUGUACAAGACAUACAAGACAAUCAUUGUCCUAGAGCCUAUACCAUCCAUAUGCAAAUAAAGUGCAAAAGGAAGAAAUUUUGUUUAACUCUAAAGCAAGAAGCCGCUUAACUACACUAUUUAGGCAGGCCAACAUGUGUGGGAGGACUAGGUGGUAUUUUUGCGGUGAAUUUCCAUUUUAAGCUCAUUGGAACUCGAUGGGGAUGUUUGCUUUUUAGGUGUGGCCCAUGGACAGCUAGCCAACAAAUGGUAGCAUUGUAGAUGUGCCCUUUGUU